RNAcentral lists this long non-coding RNA (578 nucleotides) under Marmota monax (woodchuck). The record is from RNAcentral. Lineage: Eukaryota; Metazoa; Chordata; Mammalia; Rodentia; Sciuridae.
GCAGAUCUUCCUAUCAGGACCCAGGACUCGCAGAGCUCCUCCUCUCAAACCAGGGAUCACAACCUGGAACAGACAGAUGCCUUGUUCCUGCUCUGGCCCUGCCAUGGGUCCUGGGCUUCUCCGCUGCAUAACCCUGUGUCUCCUUGUAGCAAGUGAGUCCUGAGCGGAAAGGAAAUCUUUGGCUAAGGGUAUCUUCUGCUCAGCUCUCUGUCCUUCAUUUCAUGGUCUCCUCCUUAACUCACUCCACCUUUUUCUUUCUGUGCAGGUCCUGUGAGUGCUAUGGUCAUGUAGAACCCAAGAUACCAGAUUACCAGGGUGGGGAAGCCAGUGACCCUGAAUUGUUCUCAGACUCUGAAUCAUGAUACCAUGUACUGGUACCAACAGAAACCAAGCCACGCACCAAAGCUGUUGCUCUACUACUACGAUGAUCAAUUGAAUAAGCAAACAGACACUUCAGAUAACUUCCAAGCUAGCCGGCCUAAAACUUCUUUGUGUUCCCUUGACAUCCGCUCAGCUGGCCUGGAGGACUCAGCAGUGUACCUGUGUGCCAGCAGCAGAGACACAGAGGCACAGGGUUA